Small nucleolar RNA from Penicillium freii, 95 nucleotides. It matches the Rfam family "A. fumigatus snoRNA Afu_191". NCBI's taxonomy places the organism in Eukaryota, Fungi, Ascomycota, Eurotiomycetes, Eurotiales, Aspergillaceae. The record is from Rfam.
ACCACAUGAUGAUCAGAGUCUAAUGAAUUUGCAAUACUGACAAUCACCAAUUACAUGUGCGAUUGUAUGUUGACUCUUCUACACUUGAUCUGACC